Molecule: long non-coding RNA, 996 nt
Organism: Apis dorsata (giant honeybee)
Lineage: Eukaryota; Metazoa; Arthropoda; Insecta; Hymenoptera; Apidae
Exons: 2
Source: RefSeq, a predicted model, not a curated record
UAAAUAAAUGAAAAAUGAUAAAAGUUAUCGUAAUUCAAAGAAAAUGUAUGCUGACACUGUAAUUUUGACAUUCUUUGUAGUGGUAAAUUAAUUGCAGGAACUGAUAAUUAUGAAAUCUGUGCAACAUGAGCAAGUUCCAUUACAAGUAUUCAUGACUAAUUAAAUUAUUUAGUACAUUUGUAUUUUUGAAAUUACUUUUAUCCACAAUUAGACUUCUUUUGUAAAGAUUCAUGAAUGAAAGGUCAUGCAAUUAUCGAAGAUGAUAAUUGUAUAUAAAUAAUUGAAGGUAUGACAAUAGAAGAAUGAUAUACAGGCAAACCGUUCUGCGAACUUUUCUAUUGUUUCAUUGAAGAAACUAUUUCUGGGAUUUCAAAACGUAACGUUGUUCACCGAUUGCCUCAAACUUUAGGGUAAUUCCAAUAUAUAUGAAUCGAAUCUGAUAUUUCCAUUCGAAGAGAAUUGAUGAUGCAAAAGAAAAUUACCGGUAUCGCAACAUUUUCUUUUUUCUUCUUUUUUACUGUAAAUUCUAUUUUAGAUCGAAGGUCCAACCGUAACAAUGCGUUCCGACGAAACAAAGUUUUUCCUUGCAGAAAAACGUGACAGAUACAAUGAAGCCGGAUGUUAACUCCCAUAGAAUAGAAUCAAAUGCAGUUGAUAAUUGUAAAUGACUUUUUUUAUUCUGUCCGAUACGAUUUGUAACGUGAUUCAAACGAUAUUAUUUUCUGGCUUGAUUACGCUAACAAUAAGUAUGAAUUCACAUGAAUUCCAUUUGCAGCAAAUAUGCACUAGUAUGAUUGGUAGUGAUGUAAGAAAGAACGGAAAUAAAAUGCAAGAUAGCAAGCAGACAUGUAGAAAAGAUCUUGGAUUCAUAAAGAAGGCAUCUGAGUUUAUCCUUAAUGAUCCCACGCGACUACCGACCGAAUUAUGUAACGUAUAUGUAUAACUGAUAAAUAGUAAUUAAUAUUAUCAUGAUAAAAGAAUUUUUAUUUAAAAAAA